Non-coding RNA from Phrynosoma platyrhinos (Desert horned lizard), 73 nucleotides. NCBI's taxonomy places the organism in Eukaryota, Metazoa, Chordata, Lepidosauria, Squamata, Phrynosomatidae. The record is from the annotation of a GenBank genome assembly.
GCCAGUGUGGUGUAGAGGUUUUGAGUGUUAGACUACAACUCUGGAGAUCAAGGUUCGAUUCCCCGCUCAGCCG